AACUUUCAGCAACGGAUCACUUGGCUCUCGCAUCGAUGAAGAACGCAGCGAAAUGCGAUAAGUAAUGUGAAUUGCAGAAGUCAGUGAAUCAUCGAAUCUUUGAACGCACCUUGCGCUCCUUGGUAUUCCGAGGAGCAUGCCUGUUUGAGUGUCAUUAAUAUAUCAAACUUCUCUUGUUGAUUGGUUUGGAUGUGGGGGUUUGCUGGCCUUUUUAAAAAAGUUCAGCUCCUCUGAAAUGCAUUAGCAGAAUAACCUGUUCAUUGGUGUGAUAACUAUCUACACUAUUGAAUUCAAGGGCCAGUUCAGCUUUCUAACAGUCCUUGGACAAUUUAUCAUUUAUGUGACCUCAAAUCAGGUAGGACUACCCGCUGAACUUAAGCAUAUCAAUAAGCGGAGGCU
This 399-nucleotide unclassified non-coding RNA is filed under the name uncultured Cortinarius. Its description in RNAcentral is "sequence contains ITS2". The stretch from base 1 to 154 matches the Rfam family "5.8S ribosomal RNA". The record is from RNAcentral. Lineage: Eukaryota; Fungi; Basidiomycota; Agaricomycetes; Agaricales; Cortinariaceae.